GACGAACGCUGGCGGCGUGCUUAACACAUGCAAGUCGAACGGAGCACCCUUGAAUGAGACUUCGGUCAAAGGAAAGGAAUGCUUAGUGGCGGACUGGUGAGUAACGCGUGAGGAACCUGCCUUUCAGAGGGGGACAACAGUUGGAAACGACUGCUAAUACCGCAUGACGCAUUCGGAUGGCAUCAUCUGAAUGCCAAAGAUUUAUCGUGGAAAGAUGGCCUCGCGUCUGAUUAGAUAGUUGGCGGGGUAACGGCCCACCAAGUCGACGACCAGUAGCCGGACUGAGAGGUUGACCGGCCACAUUGGGACUGAGAUACGGCCCAGACUCCUACGGGAGGCAGCAGUGGGGAAUAUUGGGCAAUGGGCGCAAGCCUGACCCAGCAACGCCGCGUGAAGGAAGAAGGCUUUCGGGUUGUAAACUUCUUUUAAGAGGGAAGAGCAGAAGACGGUACCUCUUGAAUAAGCCACGGCUAACUACAUGACAGCCGCCGCCGUAA
This 497-nucleotide ribosomal RNA is filed under the name uncultured bacterium. Its description in RNAcentral is "partial 16S ribosomal RNA". It matches the Rfam family "Bacterial small subunit ribosomal RNA", at positions 28 to 523 of the family's 1533-position model. The record is from RNAcentral.